RNAcentral lists this ribosomal RNA (253 nucleotides) under uncultured bacterium. Its description in RNAcentral is "partial 16S ribosomal RNA". It matches the Rfam family "Bacterial small subunit ribosomal RNA", at positions 524 to 776 of the family's 1533-position model. The record is from RNAcentral.
UACGGAGGGUCCGAGCGUCGUCCGGAAUCACUGGGUGUAAAGGGUGCGCAGGCGGGCUUAUAAGUCAGGGGUGAAAGCCACCGGCUCAACCGGUGAAUUGCCCUUGAUACUGUAAGUCUUGAGUCCUGGAGGGGCCGUCGGAAUUCGUGGUGUAGCGGUGAAAUGCGUAGAUAUCACGAGGAACACCGGAGGCGUAAGCGGACAGCUGGACAGGUACUGACGCUGAGGCACGAAAGCGUGGGGAGCGAACAGG